CCUACGGGUGGCAGCAGUGGGGAAUAUUGCACAAUGGGGGAAACCCUGAUGCAGCGACGCCGCGUGAGUGAAGAAGUAUUUCGGUACGUAAAGCUCUAUCAGCAGGGAAGAAAAUGACGGUACCUGACUAAGAAUCCCCGGCUAACUACGUUCCAGCCGCCGCGGUAAUACGUAGGGGGCCAGCGUUAUCCGGAUUUACUGGGUGUAAAGGGAGCGUAGACGGCAGCGCAAGUCUGUAGUGAAAUCCCAUGGCUUAACCAUGGAACUGCUUUGGAAACUGUGCAGCUGGAGUGCAGGAGAGGUAAGCGGAAUGACUAGUGUAGAGGUGAAAUGCGUAGAGAUUAGGAGGAACACCAGUGGAGAAGGCGGCUUACUGGACUGUAACGGACGUUGAGGAUCGAAAGCGUGGGGAGCAAACAGGAUGAGAGACCCCGGUAGGC
RNAcentral lists this ribosomal RNA (440 nucleotides) under uncultured bacterium. RNAcentral describes it as "partial 16S ribosomal RNA". It matches the Rfam family "Bacterial small subunit ribosomal RNA", at positions 338 to 795 of the family's 1533-position model. The record is from RNAcentral.